CAUAAAGGCUCAUCUUGUCCUUGACUUCACUGGUCAAAUCUCCUGGAUUGCCAGCUAAAAUGAGGCUCUGUUCUUGGGUUCUGGGUCUCCUAAUGCUCUGGAUCACUGGGUCCAGAGGCGAUAUUUUAAUGACUCAGACUCCACUCUCCCUGGCUGUCACCCUGGGAGAGACGGUCUCCCUCUCCUGCAGGUCUAGUGAGAGCCUCACAGAUAACAAUGGAAAUAGUGUUCUAUUCUGGUACUUGCAGAAACCUGGCCAGUCUCCAAAACUGCUGAUCUAUGGGGCUUCCUAUCGAGCACCUGGGGUCCCAGACAGAUUCAGUGGCAGUGGGUCAGACACAGAUUUCACACUGCAAAUCAGCAGGGUGGAAGCUGAAGAUAUUGGGGUUUAUUACUGCAUGCAAGCUAUAGAUACUCCUCCCACAGUGAUACAGUCCUUAACAAAAACAUCUCUGUAGGGCUUGGCCCAGCUGUCCUAUUUCAAAGCUUGUCUGGGGAACAGCAUAGCACAUUCUCUGAACUGAAGCAGUAGUCUGAGUUUGGAGGACUUGACAGAAGAUGUCAUACCAGAGACUUUGUCCAAGUGGGAUCUUGGAUUACUUGAAGCUUAGAUGGACUUCCAGAACCAGAAUUUAUAAUGUUACUACAGAAGUCAAUUUAUCACUUAUUACCAAAUGUGAAAGACAAAGCCAAAAACAUCUACCACCAGCAUGCCAUUUCUGUAGUUUGGAGAGAAUUACAGAGUC
Non-coding RNA from Dipodomys spectabilis (banner-tailed kangaroo rat), 746 nucleotides. The record is from the annotation of a RefSeq genome assembly. Lineage: Eukaryota; Metazoa; Chordata; Mammalia; Rodentia; Heteromyidae.